ACAAAGAAGGAUUAUCCUUAUAUCGAACACACAAUUCUCCAUCGUACUGAGUAAAAAUUUAUUUUAAUGUAAUUGAAAUCAAUUUCAAUAAUUUAAAAUUGAACACAAAAGAGUAAAGAACUGCAGUGUUACUAGCAGAGAAACCAUUGCAGACUGCAGCGCAACUCUGCAUAGCGCAAUGUUAAAUCUCUACGGAGGCUCUGUGUAAUGGGCAGCCACCACGGGAGGCGUUUAACCCAUCGUACGGUGUUUAUCAAGUGGCUUAUGUCUUUUGCGAUACGGACCCAUUGAAAUAAACCUUGCACACCAUCUUUCUCAUUGCUACUUUGUCACAGUUCCAGUAACAUAAGAGCAGCAGGACGGACCGACAGUGGAACAGCGGGGCCGGAUGCGAUGGCAAAGUCACGGUGGACCAUUCCCGAACCUCCGGUGGUUGCAGGAUUCCCGUGCAUACUUGCAACAAAAUCGUGUGAAACAUCAACAGGUCCGCUGUAUGAUAUUACACAAGGAAUGAAAUGGAUGGAGUUGGACAUAUCCGGUUUAGAGGGGAAUGAGCCUUCAGCAACGAACAAAAGCAGAUUUCCGGAGUUUCGUGCACUCGAAGGGAUUUCAGCUUUUCCAAUCCUAAAGCAGAACAGAGUGUCGAUUCAAACAUCCCUGACACUCGGGAAAUGCCAGCCUUAACUUUACCGCAAUAAUAACAAUUCCAGGUUUAACUUUGCCGUAGUAACUUUACUUUGGUUUACCAUAAUGCUCCACGAUAAGCGCGUUAGGAUUCCGGCCCCGAUCAUCCACGCGAUUUUUGCCAAUACGGAGAAUGUUUUCGACGCUAUUAAGAGCCACCUGUACGAUCCUAGUAGCAUCUGUGAUGCCCAAAAGAUCACACAUUGGCGGAAUGCAUCCCGCUUGUACGAACACUCUAUGAACAGUAAUUGAAGGUUCAUCAAAUGUACCAAAAUGAAUAUUUAUUAUGUAUCCCGCAAAAUUUCUGUUAUCAGUAACUAAAUGCAAAGCUUCAGCAUACUGAAUCUGUUCCUCAGAGCCACCAGAAAGCGCGUUCGAUAUAGCCCAAGCCGCUUCUUUUCGCGUCUUAAAUUCAGCAUUACCCAGGAUCUCUAUGAGAACUGGAACAAGUCCUGCGUCUAUUACAAGCUGCAAAAAAAGCCCAACUUUAGGCUAAAGAAUGCACUGAUACGUAAACGAUUCUAACCUGAAUGUGACUGCGGCUUCCUGCAUUGAUAUUUGACAACGCCCAGCAAGCUUCCUUACGAACGCUUUUCUUUUACGUCCUGACGAACAAGUAGCCGCUUCAACAGCUGCAAUACGCCACUAUUCAAAACCAUUUGCGUCAGGGAGACAUUUCCUGUUACGAUGUUCCCAACGGCGCGCAAAGCAGAGGAAACCACGUUUUGAACAUCAUGACUAAAAAAUCAACAGCACGUAAAGAAGUAUGAGCCAACUAUACAUGCAAUGCACAGUUACCCUAGAAGGGUGACCAACCGCGGACAGACACUCGCAUUAACAACAGCCUGAAUCUUGUCGUCUGGACCAUCACACAGGUAAGAAAUCGCCCAACAUGCAUCGGUCAGCACAUCUGCAUCUGAAUGGAACAAAAGCCGGGCUAAAAUUGGCAAAGCUUGUUUCACCUAAUGUCCAAACAUGGUAGUUACAAUAUGCCAAAUAAAGCAGCGACCGACAACAAAAUAAAAUACGACCUUGGCAAAAUCUGG
Molecule: long non-coding RNA, 1730 nt
Organism: Paramacrobiotus metropolitanus
Lineage: Eukaryota; Metazoa; Tardigrada; Eutardigrada; Parachela; Macrobiotidae
Exons: 4
Source: RefSeq, a predicted model, not a curated record